GGCGUGGUGGCAGAGUGGUCUAAUGCGCAAGACUAGGAAUCUUCCAGGAUAUCUUGUUCCUUCGGGAGCGUCGAUUCAAGUCCGGCCUACGUCG
This is a non-coding RNA of Lasiosphaeris hirsuta, 94 nucleotides long. The record is from the annotation of a GenBank genome assembly. NCBI's taxonomy places the organism in Eukaryota, Fungi, Ascomycota, Sordariomycetes, Sordariales, Lasiosphaeriaceae.